Aedes aegypti (yellow fever mosquito) is the source of this 327-nucleotide long non-coding RNA. RefSeq lists it as uncharacterized. The transcript is spliced from 3 exons. Lineage: Eukaryota; Metazoa; Arthropoda; Insecta; Diptera; Culicidae. The record is from RefSeq and is a predicted model, not a curated record.
AGCUUGGUUUGACAAGACACAAAUGUUUCAGCGACUGGUGAGAAAAUUGCAUUGACUCUAGCAACCCAUAUACAAAUGCUUGCAAUUGCAUCUGUCUAAGUCGGCCCCCCCCCCCAGGUCGAACGCAUCCAACAAAAGGUGGUCCAGAAUGUGCAGUUUGCAGAGGUCAUAUUCAACAUUAUGAUGGCGCCUAACCGUAUUAUUCGUCCCUUGCUUAGUUGGUGCCCUCAAGAAAAAUGUACUCAGCGCUAAGGAAUUGGAUAUGAAAAAUAUGGAAUAAAAUAUGUCAGAAAUAAAAUUAUUAUCAUUGAACGGUUUUGCAAAGAA